This 1110-nucleotide long non-coding RNA is filed under the name Numida meleagris (helmeted guineafowl). RNAcentral describes it as "lncRNA (ENSNMEG00000001484.1)". The record is from RNAcentral. Lineage: Eukaryota; Metazoa; Chordata; Aves; Galliformes; Numididae.
UCCCCCCUCUCCGAGUCCUCCAACGCGGACCUCCACGCCACAGAGCUGUGCCGCCAACAGGCGGCGCCGGCCUUCAGUCGCUUCUACUCCGCCGUCCGCGUCAACCGCAGCGUGCUGUGCGUCACCGCCUGCAGCCCCGGCGUCCCCGGCGCCAUCCAUUGUCACCACGGCCUCUGCCGGGUCACAACGCAGGGACCGCGCUGCUUGUGAGCACCCGCCCAACGCCACCUGACCCCGUGACCCCAAAUCCUGAGCCUUGACCCCAAAUCCUGAGCCCUUGACCCUAAAUCCUGGCCUCUUGACCCCAAAUCCUGGCCUCUUGACCCUAAGGCCUGAGCCUUGACCCUAAAUCCUGACCCUUGACCCUAAAUCCUGACCUCUUGACCCUAAGUCCUGAGCCUUGACCCCAAGGCCUGACCCUUGACCCUAAAUCCUGGCCCCUUGACCCCAAAUCGCGACCCUUGACCUUAAAUCCUGACCCCUUGACCCUACGUCCUGACCCCUAGAACCCAAAUAUGACCCCUGGACCCCAAAUCCUGACCCUUGACCCCAAAUCCUGAGCCUUGACCCCAAGGCCUGACCCUAAAUCCCCAUAUCAUGACCCUUGACCCCAAGGCCUGACCCCUUGACCCCAAAUCCCGACCCUUGACCCUAUGUCCUGACCCUUGACCUCAAAUCCCAACCUUUGACCCUAAAUCCUGAGCCUUGACCCCAAAUCCUGUCCCCUUGACCCUAAGUCCUGACCCCUUGACCCCAAAUCCUGACCCUUGACCCCAAAUCCUGACCCCUUGACCCUAAAUCCCGACCCUUGACCCUAAGUCCUGAUCCCUUGACCCCAAAUCCUGAGUCUUGACCCCAAAUCCCGACCCUUGACCCCAAAUCCUGACCCUUGACCUUAGUCCUGACCCCUUGACCCCAAAUCUGACCCCUUGACCCCAAAUCCUGACCCCUGGACCCCAAAUCCUGACCCCUUGACCCUAUGUCCUGACCCUUGACCCCAAAUCCCAACCCCUGACCCCAAGGCCUGACCCUUGACCCCAAAUCCUGAUCCCUUGACCCCAAACCCCAACCCUUGACCCCAAAUCCUAACCCUUUCCUGCUCAAGCCCUC